This 423-nucleotide ribosomal RNA is filed under the name uncultured Saprospiraceae bacterium. RNAcentral describes it as "bacterial SSU rRNA". It matches the Rfam family "Bacterial small subunit ribosomal RNA", at positions 353 to 772 of the family's 1533-position model. Lineage: Bacteria; Pseudomonadati; Bacteroidota; Saprospiria; Saprospirales; Saprospiraceae. The record is from RNAcentral.
AGUAAGGAAUAUUGGUCAAUGGGCGAAAGCCUGAACCAGCCAUCCAGCGUGCAGGAAGAAGGCCCUAUGGGUUGUAAACUGCUUUUAUCAGGGAAGAAACCUCUGGAUUCACUCCGGAGCUGACGGUACCUGAAGAAUAAGCACCGGCUAACUCCGUGCCAGCAGCCGCGGUAAUACGGAGGGUGCGAGCGUUAUCCGGAAUUACUGGGUUUAAAGGGUGCGUAGGCGGCUUUGUAAGUCAGGAGUGAAAGUUUGCGGCUCAACCGUAAAAUUGCUUUUGAUACUGCAGAGCUAGAAUCAGGAUGAGGUUAGCGGAAUGUGGCAUGUAGCGGUGAAAUGCAUAGAUAUGCCAUAGAACACCAAUUGCGAAGGCAGCUGGCUAGACCUGCAUUGACGCUGAGGCACGAAAGCGUGGGGAGCGAA